UAUGAGGUUAUGUGUUGAUUGGGACGCCUUUGGGUACAAGCGGCUGGUUUUUGGUUGUGCUGCACUAACCUAUGAUGCACAAGGUGAGCCCCAAUUUUGUUUACAUAUCCUUGUUUGUUUGUGUUGAAUAUCAAACAUGUAUCACGCAGAAAAGAAAAGAACAUUGAACAUUUUCCCUUUAUUGCUAUGACGAUAUAGUGAUACACAGAACAGGAUUCAGUAUCUGUGCAUGUGGUGUUUUUGUCUAGUGAAGGUUGGCAUUGGCACUAAGCUCCUCUACUGGGUUUAUCAUGUUCUUAGUAAUAGGCCAAAGGUGAUGAAAACACUGAUGUAGGAAUAUCAUAGUGCUAGUUUUACAUGUAUGGUUUAUGUUGCCAUUAUGGGCUCAUUAAGCGUAAACAUUGAGUUAUAUCAUGUUGAAGCAGUGGGAGCACGUGUUGUUCCUCUGACGAUUCAGUUGUUAACAUUUAUCCAUGUCAUAUGAAAUCAUCAAGCUUGUAAAUCCAUGGCUUGUUCUCCCUAACAAAUAUGUAUCUGAUCUAGUUCAUUCUCCUUGUAAACAGGAUGGAGACAAAGACAAAGCACUCGCUACCGCCUUCGAUCAUGAGGCCUUCCCAUUCUCCAGACCUCCCUCGUGCGCUCAUAGACGGCGUGCCAGACUGACUAGUCGACCCGAUGUUUCAUUUUUCGCAUUCCCCAGUGCUUCUAACGGCGUUCCAAUUCAAGCGCGACCCGGACAUGCUGCGGAGCAGUUCAUGUCAGCAUCCUUGAUCUUAUUAUGCAUACAUAGGUUUCCUUUAGGCUUUAUUAGGGGAGAAGCUCAUGCAGUGUGACUGUCAGUUUCAGAAGGGUAGUAGAACGCUGCUGUCACGGUGCUUGCUGGUUCGGUUCUGGUUUAGCGAGGCUGCCAGCAUUCUUAGAUGUAAAAAAAUCUAGUCGUCAGAUCAAGUGUUUCAGUGCCUUACUC
RNAcentral lists this long non-coding RNA (967 nucleotides) under Hordeum vulgare. RNAcentral's name for it is "long non-coding RNA (HVUL_LNC020826)". The record is from RNAcentral. Lineage: Eukaryota; Viridiplantae; Streptophyta; Magnoliopsida; Poales; Poaceae.